GACGGAGGGGGCUAGCGUUGCUCGGAAUCACUGGGCGUAAAGCGCACGUAGGCGGACUCUUAAGUCGGUGGUGAAAUCCUGGAGCUCAACUCCAGAACUGCCUUCGAUACUGAGAGUCUCGAGUCCGGGAGAGGUGAGUGGAACUGCGAGUGUAGAGGUGAAAUUCGUAGAUAUUCGCAAGAACACCAGUGGCGAAGGCGGCUCACUGGCCCGGUACUGACGCUGAGGUGCGAAAGCGUGGGGAGCAAACAGG
This 253-nucleotide ribosomal RNA is filed under the name uncultured bacterium. RNAcentral describes it as "partial 16S ribosomal RNA". It matches the Rfam family "Bacterial small subunit ribosomal RNA", at positions 524 to 776 of the family's 1533-position model. The record is from RNAcentral.